AAUGUACUGUGCCUGUUCAGAAGGACGAUUUAAGGAGGGACUCCUGGAGAGAACAGAUUCUCUCCACCUCUGUUUUUCACUGAAGUAGUUGUAAAAGUGACAUUGGGUACCAUUUCCACCCAACAGAUGCAGGAAAUACUGGAAAUCUUUUAACAAAAUCUGUACUGCAGAGAUUUCCUUCUGAAUUUCGCAAACUUCAGCAAUUCACAUAAAUGAAAAUUCAAAACAAAACAAAGCGAAAACUUUUUGGCAUUAACCCGUGAGUUACAGAGUGAGAUUUUAAAAG
RNAcentral lists this long non-coding RNA (286 nucleotides) under Homo sapiens (human). RNAcentral's name for it is "HSALNT0336330". The record is from RNAcentral. Lineage: Eukaryota; Metazoa; Chordata; Mammalia; Primates; Hominidae.